GAUGAACGCUGGCGGCGUGCCUAACACAUGCAAGUCGAGCGAUCCUCUUCGGAGAAGAGCGGCGGACGGGUGAGUAACGCGUGGGUAACCUGCCCUGUACACACGGAUAACAUACCGAAAGGUAUGCUAAUACGGGAUAAUAUGUUUUGACCGCAUGGUCGAAAUAUCAAAGCUCCGGCGGUACAGGAUGGACCCGCGUCUGAUUAGCUAGUUGGUGAGGUAAUGGCUUACCAAGGCGACGAUCAGUAGCCGACCUGAGAGGGUGAUCGGCCACAUUGGAAUUGAGACACGGUCCAAACUCCUACGGGAGGCAGCAGUGGGGAAUAUUGCACAAUGGGCGAAAGCCUGAUGCAGCAACGCCGCGUGAGCGAUGAAGGCCUUCGGGUCGUAAAGCUCUGUCCUCAAGGAAGAUAAUGACGGUACUUGAGGAGGAAGCCCCGGCUAACUACGUGCCAGCCGCCGCGGUAA
Molecule: ribosomal RNA, 468 nt
Filed under: uncultured bacterium
Lineage: Bacteria
Description: partial 16S ribosomal RNA
Rfam family: Bacterial small subunit ribosomal RNA
Source: RNAcentral